AGUGAACGCUGGCGGUAGGCCUAACACAUGCAAGUCGAACGGCAGCACAGUAAGAGCUUGCUCUUACGGGUGGCGAGUGGCGGACGGGUGAGGAAUACAUCGGAAUCUACUUUUUCGUGGGGGAUAACGUAGGGAAACUUACGCUAAUACCGCAUACGACCUACGGGUGAAAGCAGGGGAUCUUCGGACCUUGCGCGAUUGAAUGAGCCGAUGUCGGAUUAGCUAGUUGGCGGGGUAAAGGCCCACCAAGGCGACGAUCCGUAGCUGGUCUGAGAGGAUGAUCCACCAACCGGGAAAUGAGAACCGGCCCAAACCCCACGGGGGGGCAGCAGUGGGAAAUUUUGGAAAAUGGGCGCAAGCCUGAUCCAGCCAUACCGGGUGGGUGAAGAAGGCCUUCGGGUUGUAAAGCCCUUUUGUUGGGAAAAAAAAGCAGCAGGUUAAAACCCCGCUGUUCUGACGGUACCAAAAGAAUAAGCACCGGCUAACUUCGU
Molecule: ribosomal RNA, 491 nt
Filed under: uncultured bacterium
Lineage: Bacteria
Description: partial 16S ribosomal RNA
Rfam family: Bacterial small subunit ribosomal RNA
Source: RNAcentral